AUCCAGCCGAUGGGUCCCAAAUAGGACGAAACACGCUUCCUGGAU
This 45-nucleotide non-coding RNA is filed under the name Schistosoma margrebowiei. Lineage: Eukaryota; Metazoa; Platyhelminthes; Trematoda; Strigeidida; Schistosomatidae. The record is from RNAcentral.